GAAAAGAUAAGCUAAAUAAGCUAUUAGGUUCAUACCCUAACUAUAGAAAUAGAUUUCUUCUUUUUA
Molecule: transfer RNA, 66 nt
Filed under: Phlogotettix sp. EMHAU-2015-Zz052705
Lineage: Eukaryota; Metazoa; Arthropoda; Insecta; Hemiptera; Cicadellidae
Description: tRNA-Met
Source: RNAcentral